AGAGUUUGAUCAUGGCUCAGAACGAACGCUGGCGGCAGGCUUAACACAUGCAAGUCGAACGCCCCGCAAGGGGAGUGGCAGACGGGUGAGUAACGCGUGGGAAUCUACCCAGAACUUCGGAACAACUGAGGGAAACUUCAGCUAAUACCGGAUACGCCCUACGGGGGAAAGAUUUAUCGGUUCUGGAUGAGCCCGCGUUGGAUUAGCUAGUUGGUGAGGUAAUGGCCCACCAAGGCGACGAUCCAUAGCUGGUCUGAGAGGAUGAUCAGCCACACUGGGACUGAGACACGGCCCAGACUCCUACGGGAGGCAGCAGUGGGGAAUAUUGGACAAUGGGCGAAAGCCUGAUCCAGCCAUGCCGCGUGAGUGAUGAAGGCCUUAGGGUUGUAAAGCUCUUUCAGUAGGGAAGAUAAUGACGGUACCUACAGAAGAAGCCCCGGCUAACUUCGUGCCAGCAGCCGCGGUAAUACGAAGGGGGCUAGCGUUGUUCGGAUUUACUGGGCGUAAAGCGCACGUAGGCGGAUCGUUAAGUCGGGGGUGAAAUC
RNAcentral lists this ribosomal RNA (545 nucleotides) under uncultured Alphaproteobacteria bacterium. RNAcentral describes it as "bacterial SSU rRNA". It matches the Rfam family "Bacterial small subunit ribosomal RNA", at positions 8 to 601 of the family's 1533-position model. The record is from RNAcentral. Lineage: Bacteria; Pseudomonadati; Pseudomonadota; Alphaproteobacteria.